RNAcentral lists this unclassified non-coding RNA (40 nucleotides) under Severe acute respiratory syndrome coronavirus 2. RNAcentral describes it as "RNA (37-MER) from Severe acute respiratory syndrome coronavirus 2 (PDB 7KRP, chain P)". Lineage: Riboviria; Orthornavirae; Pisuviricota; Pisoniviricetes; Nidovirales; Coronaviridae. The record is from RNAcentral.
CGCGUAGCAUGCUACGUCAUUCUCCUAAGAAGCUACCCCC